CACGAGCACCACUAAACGAGCGCUGAGCCGCGCGGGGCCAGAAGCUGGACCGGCGCGCACACCUGCCUUGCCUGUCACCUGGAGCCUCUGAGACCCGCCCACAGCCGUCUGGGCUGUGUCCACCGUGAGAACCAGAGCUUUGUUCUCCCCAGGAUCCCGGAGACGCGCCAUUGUUACUUCGGGACACCUGGGGGCCGCGUAAGGACAGGUAGCUAGCUUGUAAAGCUAAGCGGGACAACGUCAUGGUCAUCAGCGGUCACACAGUGCCCUCUGGUGGCUCCGUGAGAAAACGACACGCAGGCUCCAGGACACCAUGAUUGAGCUCAGGACCUUGUAUUCGAGAGACAAGCGCGGUGCCACUGAGCUAAAUCCCUGGCCCUUCCACAAUGUUACCUCAAUAAAUUUUGGAAUUUGAAAUGGACAAAGUAUUUGAAAGAAGA
This 440-nucleotide long non-coding RNA is filed under the name Heterocephalus glaber (naked mole-rat). RNAcentral describes it as "lncRNA (ENSHGLG00100045740.1)". The record is from RNAcentral. Lineage: Eukaryota; Metazoa; Chordata; Mammalia; Rodentia; Bathyergidae.